GGGGGAAUAAUUCAGUGGGAGAGUGCAUGCUUGGCAUGCACAAGGUCCUAGGUUCAAUCCCAGGUACCUCCA
Molecule: transfer RNA, 72 nt
Filed under: Camelus bactrianus (Bactrian camel)
Lineage: Eukaryota; Metazoa; Chordata; Mammalia; Artiodactyla; Camelidae
Also listed under: 2 other names
Rfam family: tRNA
About the family: Transfer RNA (tRNA) molecules are approximately 80 nucleotides in length. Their secondary structure includes four short double-helical elements and three loops (D, anti-codon, and T loops).
Source: Rfam by way of RNAcentral